GCCAGACUCCUACGGGAGGCAGCAGUGGGGAAUAUUGGGCAAUGGAGGCAACUCUGACCCAGCAACGCCGCGUGAAUGAAGAAGGCCUUCGGGUUGUAAAGUUCUUUAAUUGGGGACGAAGGAAAUGACGGUACCCAAAGAAUAAGCCACGGCUAACUACGUGCCAGCAGCCGCGGUAAUACGUAGGGGGCAAGCGUUAUCCGGAUUUACUGGGUGUAAAGGGAGCGUAGACGGCAGCGCAAGUCUGGAGUGAAAUGCCGGGGCCCAACCCCGGAACUGCUUUGGAAACUGUGCAGCUCGAGUGCAGGAGAGGUAAGCGGAAUUCCUAGUGUAGCGGUGAAAUGCGUAGAUAUUAGGAGGAACACCAGUGGCGAAGGCGGCUUACUGGACUGUAACUGACGUUGAGGCUCGAAAGCGUGGGGAGCAAACAGGAUUAGAUACCCUAGUAC
RNAcentral lists this ribosomal RNA (449 nucleotides) under uncultured bacterium. Its description in RNAcentral is "bacterial SSU rRNA". It matches the Rfam family "Bacterial small subunit ribosomal RNA", at positions 330 to 793 of the family's 1533-position model. The record is from RNAcentral.